Molecule: long non-coding RNA, 1055 nt
Organism: Anneissia japonica
Lineage: Eukaryota; Metazoa; Echinodermata; Crinoidea; Comatulida; Comatulidae
Exons: 2
Source: RefSeq, a predicted model, not a curated record
AGCAUCUGUGAGCCGAGGACACAGACUGAAAGCAGGUUUAUGUGUGGCGAAGCAUUAGAUACUGAAGCCCAACAACUCAAAACAUCAUUAAGACGACAAUCGCAUGAUUUGCUGACAAAGAUUUUGAGAAAGUGAAGACAAGUAAGGCAGCUAAAGAAUUCUACUCUACAUGAGGAUACAUCUUACUGAUGAGUUAAUGAGACACCAUGCAAUGGUUUGGUAAUGAACAUCAUACAGAUCUAAUAGAAACUACUGCUACAGUCUACCAGACCCAUAGCGUGGAGUAUGAAGAGGUUUUGCAUAUUUUGAGAAUUGUGUCUGUGGUGUGCACAUGUAUGCAGUGUGGUUCAGUGUUGAGAGUAGACUACAGUGCAUUUGGUGAAAAAGCUGCUUGAAAAAUCAUCUUUUUCGUUUUGAUUCCAUGCUAAGGGCCUGAAUGCCGUCAAUAGGGAUAAGAUGACAGUGAAAUGAGGCUACAUGCUUAAGAAGCAUAGGGUGAAGUCCAGCUAGGAGCACUUUCUAAAAUUUACUUACUUUCUUCACACAAAAAAAGAAAAUGAAAGGUGGAAAAAAAAACUGAAUAACAUUUGUGCACCCAAUGUGAAAAAUAGUGAUGUUAAACAAGUUGUUUCACUGAUUUGAGACGGACUGCUUAAUUCUUCGGGCUGGUGGCAGAAAAGUCGGAACGUACGCACUGAAAAUCUUGUAGACCAACCGACACAAUUUUUGUAGAAAAAACGUGGCAGCAACCAGAGUGACAACAGAAUGGCAAGUAGAUUACAAAUAGAAUUUCAUAAAUUUAUAAGGAUUACUACAAUAUAACUAAAUUUUCUAUUACAAUGUCACAUAUCUAAUUUCUAUAGCUUUUUUUUUUAUAAUUAAUUAGCAUCACCAAAAUUUUGAAUUUGAUUUGAUUAAAACUUGAAGGGAUGGGUUUUGAGGAGAGAGGGAAGGUAGGAAGGGGAGAAGAUUAUGAUUCUAGCAUUCAUCAAGGAAUUUUUAGGAUUGAGAUUACUUAGGAUUAAAAAUUUAAAAUAAAGAAAUUAACUAUUUUU